GUAGGUGAACCUGCGGAAGGAUCAUUACUGAGUGAGGGCCCCUCGGGGUCCAACCUCCCACCCGUGUUUAACGAACCUUGUUGCUUCGGCGGGCCCGCCUCACGGCCGCCGGGGGGCAUCUGCCCCCGGGCCCGCGCCCGCCGAAGCCACCUGUGAACGCUGUCUGAAGUAUGCAGUCUGAGACAAUUAUUAAAUUAAUUAAAACUUUCAACAACGGAUCUCUUGGUUCCG
RNAcentral lists this unclassified non-coding RNA (231 nucleotides) under rhizosphere metagenome. RNAcentral's name for it is "partial ribosomal RNA internal transcribed spacer region". The record is from RNAcentral.